RNAcentral lists this ribosomal RNA (275 nucleotides) under uncultured bacterium. RNAcentral's name for it is "partial 16S ribosomal RNA". It matches the Rfam family "Bacterial small subunit ribosomal RNA", at positions 399 to 691 of the family's 1533-position model. The record is from RNAcentral.
GCGUGAGUGAAGAAGGCCUUCGGGUUGUAAAGCUCUUUUACCCGGGAAGAUAAUGACUGUACCGGGAGAAUAAGCUCCGGCUAACUCCGUGCCAGCAGCCGCGGUAAUACGGAGGGAGCUAGCGUUGUUCGGAAUUACUGGGCGUAAAGCGUACGUAGGCGGCUUUGUAAGUCAGAGGUGAAAGCCCACGACUCAAUCGUGGAACUGCCUUUGAGACUGCUUCGCUUGAAGAUGGGAGAGGUUAGUGGAAUUCCGAGUGUAGAGGUGAAAUUCGU